This 253-nucleotide ribosomal RNA is filed under the name uncultured bacterium. RNAcentral describes it as "partial 16S ribosomal RNA". It matches the Rfam family "Bacterial small subunit ribosomal RNA", at positions 524 to 776 of the family's 1533-position model. The record is from RNAcentral.
UACGGAAGGGGCAAGCGUUGUUCGGAAUCAUUGGGCGUAAAGGGCGCGUAGGUGGUUCUGUAUGUCUACCGUGAAAGCAUACAGCUCAACUGUAUUUUGUCGGUAGAAACUGCAGGACUUGAGGCUGGGAGGGGCUGGUGGAAUUCCCUGUGUAGCGGUGAAAUGCGUAGAGAUGGGGGAGAACACUCGUGGCGAAGGCGGCCAGCUAGACCAGUUCUGACACUGAGGCGCGAAAGCGUGGGGAGCAAACAGG